AUUGAACGCUGGCGGCAGGCCUAACACAUGCAAGUCGAACGAGUGGCGGACGGGUGAGUAAUGGCUGGGAAACUGCCUGAUGGAGGGGGCUAACUACUGGAAACGGUAGCUAAUACCGCAUACCAUGGGAUGUGCCGAGAUGGGAUUAGCUAGUAGGUGGGGUAACGGCUAACCUAGGCGACGAGCCCUAGCUGGUCUGAGAGGAUGACCAGCCACACUGGAACGGAGACACGGUCCAGACUCCUACGGGAGGCAGCAGUGGGGAAUAUUGCACAAUGGGCGCAAGCCUGAUGCAGCAAUGCCGCGUGUAUGAAGAAGGUCUUCGGGUUGUAAAGUACUUUCAUCGGGGAGGCGUUACCCGCAGAAGAAGCACCGGCUAACUCCGUGCCAGCAGCCGCGGUAAUUC
This 406-nucleotide ribosomal RNA is filed under the name uncultured bacterium. Its description in RNAcentral is "partial 16S ribosomal RNA". It matches the Rfam family "Bacterial small subunit ribosomal RNA", at positions 30 to 526 of the family's 1533-position model. The record is from RNAcentral.